Molecule: ribosomal RNA, 448 nt
Filed under: uncultured bacterium
Lineage: Bacteria
Description: bacterial SSU rRNA
Rfam family: Bacterial small subunit ribosomal RNA
Source: RNAcentral
UCCAGACUCCUACGGGAGGCAGCAGUGGGGAAUAUUGCACAAUGGGGGGAACCCUGAUGCAGCAACGCCGCGUGGGUGAAGAAGUACUUCGGUAUGUAAAGCCCUGUCAGCAGGGAAGAAAAUGACGGUACCUGACCAAGAAGCCCCGGCUAACUACGUGCCAGCAGCCGCGGUAAUACGUAGGGGGCAAGCGUUAUCCGGAUUUACUGGGUGUAAAGGGAGCGUAGACGGCAAGGCAAGUCUGGAGUGAAAGCCCGUGGCUCAACCACGGGACUGCUUUGGAAACUGUGUUGCUGGAGUGCAGGAGGGGUAAGCGGAAUUCCUAGUGUAGCGGUGAAAUGCAUAGAUAUCACGCAGAACUCCGAUUGCGAAGGCAGCGCACCGGCGCCCUACUGACGCUCAGGCACGAAAGCGUGGGUAUCGAACAGGAUUAGAUACCCCGGUAGUA